GUAGUAUUCCCUCCGUCACAAAAUUCUUAUCUUACAUUUGUUUAGAUACGGAUGUAUCUAACACUAAAAUGUAACUAGAUACAUCCGUAUUUAGACAAAUUUAAGACAAGAAUUUUGGGACGGAGGGAGUACAAA
Molecule: non-coding RNA, 135 nt
Organism: Triticum aestivum (bread wheat)
Lineage: Eukaryota; Viridiplantae; Streptophyta; Magnoliopsida; Poales; Poaceae
Source: Rfam